RNAcentral lists this ribosomal RNA (429 nucleotides) under Bacteroidota bacterium. Its description in RNAcentral is "Bacteroidetes bacterium partial 16S ribosomal RNA". It matches the Rfam family "Bacterial small subunit ribosomal RNA", at positions 355 to 776 of the family's 1533-position model. The record is from RNAcentral. Lineage: Bacteria; Pseudomonadati; Bacteroidota.
UAGGGAAUCUUCGGCAAUGGGGGGAACCCUGACCGAGCAACGCCGCGUGAGUGAAGAAGGUUUUCGGAUCGUAAAGCUCUGUUGUUAAGGAAGAACGAGUGUGAGAAUGGAAAGUUCAUGCUGUGACGGUACUUAACCAGAAAGGGACGGCUAACUACGUGCCAGCAGCCGCGGUAAUACGUAGGUCCCGAGCGUUGUCCGGAUUUAUUGGGCGUAAAGCGAGCGCAGGCGGUUAGAAAAGUCUGAAGUGAAAGGCGGUGGCUCAACCAUUGUAGGCUUUGGAAACUGUUUAACUUGAGUGCAGAAGGGGAGAGUGGAAUUCCAUGUGUAGCGGUGAAAUGCGUAGAUAUAGGGGGGAACACCGGUGGCGAGAGCGGCUCUCUGGUCUGUAACUGACGCUGAGGCUCGAAAGCGUGGGGAGCGAACAGG